Molecule: ribosomal RNA, 330 nt
Filed under: uncultured beta proteobacterium
Lineage: Bacteria; Pseudomonadati; Pseudomonadota; Betaproteobacteria
Description: bacterial SSU rRNA
Rfam family: Bacterial small subunit ribosomal RNA
Source: RNAcentral
GUGUCGUGAGAUGUUGGGUUAAGUCCCGCAACGAGCGCAACCCUUACCAUUAGUUGCUACGCAAGGGCACUCUAAUGGGACUGCCGGUGACAAACCGGAGGAAGGUGGGGAUGACGUCAAGUCCUCAUGGCCCUUAUAGGUGGGGCUACACACGUCAUACAAUGGCUGGUACAAACGGUUGCCAACCCGCGAGGGGGAGCUAAUCCGAGAAAACCAGUCGUAGUCCGGAUCGUAGUCUGCAACUCGACUGCGUGAAGUCGGAAUCGCUAGUAAUCGUGGAUCAGAAUGUCACGGUGAAUACGUUCCCGGGUCUUGUACACACCGCCCGUC